RNAcentral lists this ribosomal RNA (406 nucleotides) under uncultured bacterium. Its description in RNAcentral is "partial 16S ribosomal RNA". It matches the Rfam family "Bacterial small subunit ribosomal RNA", at positions 30 to 526 of the family's 1533-position model. The record is from RNAcentral.
AUUGAACGCUGGCGGCAGGCCUAACACAUGCAAGUCGCCCUAGUGGCGGACGGGUGAGUAAUGUCUGGGAAUCUGCCCGCUGGAGGGGGAUAACUACUGGAAACGGUAGCUAAUACCGCCUACCCUCCGAUGUGCCCACAUGGGAUUAGCUAGUUGGUGGGGUAACGGCUCACCUGGGCGACGAUCCCUACCUGGUCUGAGAGGAUGACCAGCCACACUGGAAGUGAGACACGGGCCAGACUCCUACGGGAGGCAGCAGUGGGGAAUAUUGCACAAUGGGCGCAAGCCUGAUGCAGCCAUGCCGUGUGUAUGAAGAAGGCCUUCGGGUUGUAAAGUACUUUCAGCGGGGAGGCGGUACCCGCAGAAGAAGCACCGGCUAACUCCGUGCCAGCAGCCGCGGUAAUAC